CGUACACUCCUACGGGAGGCAGCAGUGAGGAAUAUUGGACAAUGGGUGGAAGCCUGAUCCAGCCAUCCCGCGUGCAGGAAGACGGCCCUAUGGGUUGUAAACUGCUUUUAUCUGGGGAUAAACCUACUUACGUGUAAGUAGCUGAAGGUACCAGAAGAAUAAGCACCGGCUAACUCCGUGCCAGCAGCCGCGGUAAUACGGAGGGUGCAAGCGUUAUCCGGAUUUAUUGGGUUUAAAGGGUCCGUAGGCGGACUGAUAAGUCAGUGGUGAAAUCCGACAGCUUAACUGUCGAACUGCCAUUGAUACUGUUAGUCUUGAGUAAGGUUGAAGUGGCUGGAAUAAGUAGUGUAGCGGUGAAAUGCAUAGAUAUUACUUAGAACACCAAUUGCGAAGGCAGGUCACUAAGUCUUAACUGACGCUGAUGGACGAAAGCGUGGGGAGCGAACAGGAUUAGAAACCCCAGUAGUCCCAUGA
RNAcentral lists this ribosomal RNA (474 nucleotides) under uncultured organism. RNAcentral describes it as "partial 16S ribosomal RNA". It matches the Rfam family "Bacterial small subunit ribosomal RNA", at positions 330 to 800 of the family's 1533-position model. The record is from RNAcentral.